UUUAGGAAAAGCAAGGAAGCCCCCCCAUCCCUGUAUACCCACAUACUCCUUGUAUGUCUCUGCUCAGCCCAUAUUUGUUGCCUCUGCAGCUGGACACAAAACUGACCACACAGAAGAGUUGCAAAUAGAAAUGAAGAAGAUGCAAACGGACUUUGAGGAGAAACUGCUUGGUGCACGUGAUGGAGAGGAUGAAAGAAGAGCUCAAAGACACUGAGAGAGGAAUGGCUUCAGGCUCUUCCCUACCUGCAACUUCACUUCCAGGCAUUGCAGGGAACAUCCCAGCACCACAUCUCAUCCACUACCAGGGACUGUUUCUGGAGUCAUCCUACCAGCUUCUCCAUUCCCAGGAUGCUCUGACAUCCCACCAUCUCCACCAGGUGCACCUCGACUGCUUCCAUGGAGAUUAUCUCCAAAGAAGAUUCGCAACCAGCCAUACAACUGCAAAGACCACAGUGGACUAAGGAAUGUCCUUGAAAAAAAAGGAAAGUCUGGCCACAACCCUGGGAGCUGAUAAAUCCUGGUUCAACAGUGUCUGCUGAGGAGAAUGAAUGGGAAGAGCUCACCAGGUGUCCCUCCAGCAUCACAGAAUGAUUUGGAUUCAAAAGGUCCUCUGGACGUCUCGGAUCCACCCAUCCUGCUCCAACAAGUUGUCACAGAGAAUGCAAAGCGGCAUAAAAAGGAUGAUGCACCAUGUGAAGCUGGCAAAGGAGGUGGCAGAGAAGUAACACCAGGAGUGACAGCAGCAGGUUCCAGCUGGUGGACACGGAUGCAGAAGCAAGCAGGACCAACAAAGCUGGGGAGAAGACAAGAGAUGGAGGCAUCCUUGAGGAGAGCACCAGCUGCUCGAGCUAGAUGUUGCCUCUGGACAAAGGCAGAAAAUGCUGGACCUGUAAGAACUUUAGGUUGGGCUCCGGGACGCAAACCCAGUGGGGCAUGAACCGGAGGGAAUAACAGCGAGUGAGCGGCCACAGAUGGGCUUGUGGGACAAGGUAGGGACAUCCUCCCGCAGGGGAGGUUUGUGCUUGAAAGAGAAAAAUCCUGGUUGUAGGAGGGGAGAAGAAUUUCUUCGGUUCAGCCUCGGGUUGGGCAGGAUGGUCUAGGGACUCCCCGCACCCAAACAUGGGUGAACCAGGAACCAGGCUUGACCCCUUCCCCUGCCACCCACCAGCCAUGAGGGAGUGAAAAAAGGGCAGGUGGGACAAUUCAGGCAUCAGUCCCUCUGCCCUGUUGAUGGCCGGGGCAUCUCAGGGCUCCUUGCAGGGCUGAGAGCUGCAUUACCCUCGCAGCAGGGUGGUGGCGGCCUCUGCCAAAUGCUUUUAGCAGCCCUGGAAAGCUGCAAAAUGAAAGAGAAAUGAGGAUACGUGAGCUGCACCCAGGCCAGCCUGGAGCCUUGCCCAAGAGCUUUUAUUUUCUGGUAACAGUUCCUUUGAUAUAAAGCCUUUUUUCAUGGCUUUGCAGCUGUGGGCCAGUGACGCUCUGGUAGCAUCGCGUUACCAUGACAGUUUUUAUAUACAAAAGAUGGAGAAAUAAACAUUAAUUUUGGUACA
Molecule: long non-coding RNA, 1547 nt
Filed under: Calidris pugnax (ruff)
Lineage: Eukaryota; Metazoa; Chordata; Aves; Charadriiformes; Scolopacidae
Description: lncRNA (ENSCPUG00000007648.1)
Source: RNAcentral